AGGUCAGAGAUGUUGUAUGUUACCAAGGCGACGACGUCCUUCUGCCAUGCAACUGUGUGAAUAGAGACUUGAAAGAAGUAUUUAAGUGGCAGACUGAAAAUCCAGCAACACUGAUUUUAAAAGUUGAACCAACUGAAGAACAUUAUGGAGAAAACUACACAACCAGGGUUGAGAUCUUUGUGAAUAAGAGCAGCAAUGACUGCUCUAUCCUCCUGAAGAAUAUCACAGAGGAUGACGAAAACACCUACACAUGCCGUUUUAUAAGGAAUGUAGUGCACAAGUUUUAUAAAGUGAAUCUGAAAGUCAUCCAACGACCAGCUACAAGAUCUACAGCUACAACAUCUACAGUUUCUCCAGACCACUAUUCUCCAGACACUCCACCCAAGGAUUCCAGGCGGUACUUCAUAAUGAUUUCAGCAGUUGCUCUACUGCUCAUGGGUUGCAUUGUGUGUUUCAUCGGGAUUAUUUAUCUGUGAGUGUUUUAUUUAUUUAGACUAUUUAGAUACACAGUUUAUACACAGCUCAUUUACUAGUUAAGUAUAUUAUCGUAAUUUACAGUUUUU
This is a long non-coding RNA of Fundulus heteroclitus (mummichog), 563 nucleotides long. RefSeq lists it as uncharacterized. The transcript is spliced from 3 exons. Lineage: Eukaryota; Metazoa; Chordata; Actinopteri; Cyprinodontiformes; Fundulidae. The record is from RefSeq and is a predicted model, not a curated record.